UCCCAGGUAGCUUAAUGGUAAAGCACCCAAAGGCAAUUAGGGAUCUGGGUUUAAGUCCCGGUUUGGGCU
This 69-nucleotide transfer RNA is filed under the name Strigamia maritima. It matches the Rfam family "tRNA". Rfam says of the family: Transfer RNA (tRNA) molecules are approximately 80 nucleotides in length. Their secondary structure includes four short double-helical elements and three loops (D, anti-codon, and T loops). Further hydrogen bonds mediate the characteristic L-shaped molecular structure. tRNAs have two regions of fundamental functional importance: the anti-codon, which is responsible for specific mRNA codon recognition, and the 3' end, to which the tRNAs corresponding amino acid is attached (by aminoacyl-tRNA synthetases). tRNAs cope with the degeneracy of the genetic code in two manners: having more than one tRNA (with a specific anti-codon) for a particular amino acid; and 'wobble' base-pairing, i.e. permitting non-standard base-pairing at the 3rd anti-codon position. The record is from Rfam by way of RNAcentral. Lineage: Eukaryota; Metazoa; Arthropoda; Chilopoda; Geophilomorpha; Linotaeniidae.